Mustela lutreola (European mink) is the source of this 1792-nucleotide long non-coding RNA. RefSeq lists it as uncharacterized. NCBI's taxonomy places the organism in Eukaryota, Metazoa, Chordata, Mammalia, Carnivora, Mustelidae. The record is from RefSeq and is a predicted model, not a curated record. The transcript is spliced from 2 exons.
GCCGGCACACGCGCGUGGAGGGCCAUGACUCAGGACCGUGAGCGGCUCCAGGUGCCCCGUCCGCAUCCCCCACCGGCUAGGACCCGCCCCUUCCUGGCCGCCCUGUGCCAUCUGCGGGUCCACCUCCCCUGCCCCACGAGGGUGUCUCCUUUAGGAGUCAAGUGUCCCUCCUGGCAUUCCAGGUUGAAUCCCUUUGAGAACGUUGGUUUCAGUGAUGGAUUCUGGCUGUGAAGCAUCGCUGGGGUUCUGAGUCACGGAAAAGGCAUUAAGCCUUCUAGUCCGCCUCCCCUCCCUACCCGCCAGCACCCCUGCCUCCCGGCAACAGCCAGUCUCCCGCACUUCUAGGUCUGUCCGUCCUUCUUCCCAAGUGAGUUCUAGUCCCUUCCGCGCGGUUUUGCACAAACAACAGCACACCAGAUGUGUUUUUUCAAAUACUUUUUGUUCACCGGCUACAGCUAGGGUUCAGCUCCUCUUCUCCGUGGUGUGGUUAGUAUCCACUGGGCAGCGUCUGAUGCCAGAAGGCCCGUGUCCGAGCUGGGCCGCCUUCCCCAGGCAGCCUCUCCCCGAGGCGCUCGGAGUCCCUGGGAGCGCAGCUGGCCCAGAGCACACCCCCGCCUCCCGCUAUCCGAGCAGGCCGGUCCCCGGAAGGGAACUCAGGGACACCGACCCGCUGAAACGUGGCGGCCAUGCUCCAGCUGCCGGCCACCAGCUGUGGUGCCCGUUUCUUGGAGAACCAGCACACCCCAGAAAUUCCCGUUUGUUGAGACCUCUUGGUCCUUUUGAGAAGCCUCACGGGGCUGCAGCACGGGAGCCCCGUGGCAUGUGCACCCGACCAGCUGCGCAUACGCACUGCGCCACCACGGAGCAUAUGUUACUGGACAUGCUCCUGUAGGUUGUCAGGCCUCCAGAGGUUCAUCUUCAGGACAGAUUCCUACGAGUGGGUCACCGGUCAGAAGGAGCGAGCAGGUGGCUUUCCAGGUGCCUGAUUUCUCUCCAGAGCCGUAGCCUCCUGUGCUCCCAGCGCCCCAGUGCCCCACUGGAGCUUGCAGGUGUCUGGACCAGAAACCGCGUUCAGGAUGACCAGCUCUGUGGCCGGAUUUCUUAACAUAAUCCAAGCACGUGCACUUGCUCCUCAGUGAAUUCAGCGGCAAGUACAAAGGGCCAUCUGCGAGACCCCAAGGCCUGCAGCGCUAUUAUCCCUCCCAAACGCGAGGACACACACACACACACACAAUCCACGCAAACACAGCGCUUCGAGGAGUCCAAUGUCCACCUUCACGCUGAGUGGGAGAGGCCUCGAGAAGGCCUAAGCCCCAAUCCCCAUGUCACUCCGAAAAGCACUUUCCCAACAGCCCUGGAGGCCUUCUGCCCAGUUCUGCUCACUGCUCAGUGCCACCGAGACGGGGACGAACGGCUGCCUUGCAGAGGACCCCCAGUGGCCCAGGCGAUGGCUCGGGAAAGCCACAGGGCAGCGCCCAACGCUGAAGACGGGGGGUGGGGGGGUGCCCUCGCGCGGCCCUGCUGGCUGUGGCCCUCACAGGCAGGCGCUCCAGACCCAGCAGCGGAAGAACGAGCCCCCGUUCCCAGCGAAAGGCAAAUCCACCCGCUGUGAGUCACACAGGACUGGCUAGGCCGAAGCACGUCCGCGUCACUGGGAGCCUCACCUUUGCUGGCGGAGUCCCACGAACAAUUCUUCUCCCAGUGAGGCAGCGGUCCACAGCUGGGUCCAGGGUCAUCAUUUAAAUUCUCUUGUAGACAGAGGUUUGCUUAGAACGAAGCUGAUUCUAGGAGA